This 253-nucleotide ribosomal RNA is filed under the name uncultured bacterium. RNAcentral's name for it is "partial 16S ribosomal RNA". It matches the Rfam family "Bacterial small subunit ribosomal RNA", at positions 524 to 776 of the family's 1533-position model. The record is from RNAcentral.
UACGUAGGGGGCUAGCGUUGUCCGGAAUCAUUGGGCGUAAAGCGCGUGUAGGCGGUCCGGUAAGUCCGCUGUGAAAGUCGAGGGCUCAACCCUCGAAUGCCGGUGGAUACUGUCGGGCUCGAGUACGGGAGAGGCGAGUGGAAUUCCUGGUGUAGCGGUGAAAUGCGCAGAUAUCAGGAGGAACACCGAUUGCGAAGGCAGCUCGCUGGAACGUUACUGACGCUGAGACGCGAAAGCGUGGGGAGCAAACAGG